UGUUUAUUUUUAAUAAACUCAUCUGA
This 26-nucleotide non-coding RNA is filed under the name Mus musculus (house mouse). The record is from RNAcentral. Lineage: Eukaryota; Metazoa; Chordata; Mammalia; Rodentia; Muridae.